ACCCGACUGAUGAGCCCCAAAUAGAGCAAAACGAGCGUCUUGGAU
This is a non-coding RNA of Schistosoma mansoni, 45 nucleotides long. NCBI's taxonomy places the organism in Eukaryota, Metazoa, Platyhelminthes, Trematoda, Strigeidida, Schistosomatidae. The record is from Rfam.